GACGAACGCUGGCGGCGUGCUUAACACAUGCAAGUCGAACGGAAAGGCCCUGCUUUUGUGGGGUGCUCGAGUGGCGAACGGGUGAGUAACACGUGAGUAACCUGCCCUUGACUUUGGGAUAACUUCAGGAAACUGGGGCUAAUACCGGAUAGGAGCUCCUGCUGCAUGGUGGGGGUUGGAAAGUUUCGGCGGUUGGGGAUGGACUCGCGGCUUAUCAGCUGGUUGGUGGGGUAGUGGCUUACCAAGGCUUUGACGGGUAGCCGGACUGAGAGGGUGACCGGCCACAUUGGGACUGAGAUACGGCCCAGACUCCUACGGGAGGCAGCAGUGGGGAAUAUUGCACAAUGGGCGGAAGCCUGAUGCAGCAACGCCGCGUGCGGGAUGACGGCCUUCGGGUUGUAAACCGCUUUCGCCUGUGACGAAGCGUGAGUGACGGUAAUGGGUAAAGAAGCACCGGCUAACUACGU
This 467-nucleotide ribosomal RNA is filed under the name uncultured bacterium. RNAcentral's name for it is "partial 16S ribosomal RNA". It matches the Rfam family "Bacterial small subunit ribosomal RNA", at positions 28 to 506 of the family's 1533-position model. The record is from RNAcentral.